AGACCCGAAACCCGGUGAUCUAGCCAUGGGCAGGUUGAAGGUUGGGUAACACUAACUGGAGGACCGAACCGACUAAUGUUGAAAAAUUAGCGGAUGACCUGUGGCUGGGGGUGAAAGGCCAAUCAAACCGGGAGAUAGCUGGUUCUCCCCGAAAGCUAUUUAGGUAGCGCCUCGUGAAUUCAUCUCCGGGGGUAGAGCACUGUUUCGGCUAGGGGGCCAUCCCGGCUUACCAACCCGAUGCAAACUGCGAAUACCGGAGAAUGUUAUCACGGGAGACACACGGCGGGUGCUAACGUCCGUCGUGAAGAGGGAAACAACCCAGACCGCCAGCUAAGGUCCCAAAGUCAUGGUUAAGUGGGAAACGAUGUGGGAAGGCCCAGACAGCCAGGAUGUUGGCUUAGAAGCAGCCAUCAUUUAAAGAAAGCGUAAUAGCUCACUGGUCGAGUCGGCCUGCGCGGAAGAUGUAACGGGGCUAAACCAUGCACCGAAGCUGCGGCAGCGAACGUAUCACCCAAGACAACUUUACGGAGUUGACGAUUGACGGAGCGAAGCGACGUCAAAGCGUUCAUUAAAGUCGAGUUGGCUUAGGGAUACGUUCGUUGGGUAGGGGAGCGUUCUGUAAGCCUGUGAAGGUGUGUCGUGAGGCAUGCUGGAGGUAUCAGAAGUGCGAAUGCUGACAUAAGUAACGAUAAAGCGGGUGAAAAGCCCGCUCGCCGGAAGACCAAGGGUUCCUGUCCAACGUUAAUCGGGGCAGGGUGAGUCGACCCCUAAGGCGAGGCCGAAAGGCGUAGUCGAUGGGAAACGGGUUAAUAUUCCCGUACUUGGUGUUACUGCGAAGGGGGGACGGAGAAGGCUAUGUUGGCCGGGCGACGGUUGUCCCGGUUUAAGCGUGUAGGUGUGUGUUCCAGGUAAAUCCGGUUCACUUUAACACUGAGGCGUGACGACGAGGCACUACGGUGCUGAAGCAACAAAUGCCCUGCUUCCAGGAAAAGCCUCUAAGCAUCAGGUAACACGAAAUCGUACCCCAAA
Molecule: ribosomal RNA, 1029 nt
Filed under: Salmonella enterica
Lineage: Bacteria; Pseudomonadati; Pseudomonadota; Gammaproteobacteria; Enterobacterales; Enterobacteriaceae
Also listed under: 2 other names
Description: partial 23S ribosomal RNA
Rfam family: Bacterial large subunit ribosomal RNA
Source: RNAcentral